This 320-nucleotide ribosomal RNA is filed under the name uncultured Prevotella sp. RNAcentral's name for it is "partial 16S ribosomal RNA". The record is from RNAcentral. Lineage: Bacteria; Pseudomonadati; Bacteroidota; Bacteroidia; Bacteroidales; Prevotellaceae.
GGAGUUUGGACCGUGUCUCAGUUCCAAUGUGGGGGACCUUCCUCUCAGAACCCCUACUGAUCGUCGGCUCGGUGGGCCGUUACCCCGCCGACUGCCUAAUCAGACGCAUCCCCAUCCCUUAGCGACAAGUCUUUGCUUCAUCUCAGAUGUCAUCAACGAAGAACAUAGGGUAUUAAUCCGCAUUUCUACGGGCUAUGCCCUACUAAGGGGAAGGUUGGAUACGCGUUACUCACCCGUGCGCCGGUCGCCAUCAAUCUUAGCAAGCUAAGAUCAUGCUGCCCCUCGACUUGCAUGUGUUAAGCCUGUAGCUAGCGUUCAUC